Molecule: long non-coding RNA, 268 nt
Filed under: Nicotiana benthamiana
Lineage: Eukaryota; Viridiplantae; Streptophyta; Magnoliopsida; Solanales; Solanaceae
Description: long non-coding RNA (NBEN_LNC020732)
Source: RNAcentral
AGCAAUCUGGUUAUAAGUAAAGGCAUAGCAAAUUGUUUUUUUUAUUUUAUUACUAGUAACUAAAAUGUUUUGGUGUAGUUUCAUUCCAACAAUUGUUUUUGCAAUUGUUAAGAUUACUGUCACCUUUGUGUUUCAUAUUCAUAUUUUCUGUCACUAGAAAAGUGAAAAUCAAUGGCAGAAGGUUGAAUUGGACGUGGAUGUCUAGUUACAAAAAUGCAGUUCCAAGUAUUUGUAAUUCAAUGUUAUCAAAUGUUUGAAUGAAAUCUCC